RNAcentral lists this ribosomal RNA (429 nucleotides) under Actinomycetes bacterium. RNAcentral's name for it is "Actinobacteria bacterium partial 16S ribosomal RNA". It matches the Rfam family "Bacterial small subunit ribosomal RNA", at positions 355 to 776 of the family's 1533-position model. Lineage: Bacteria; Bacillati; Actinomycetota; Actinomycetes. The record is from RNAcentral.
UAGGGAAUCUUCCGCAAUGGGCGAAAGCCUGACGGAGCAACGCCGCGUGAGUGAUGAAGGUCUUCGGAUCGUAAAACUCUGUUAUUAGGGAAGAACAAAUGUGUAAGUAACUAUGCACGUCUUGACGGUACCUAAUCAGAAAGCCACGGCUAACUACGUGCCAGCAGCCGCGGUAAUACGUAGGUGGCAAGCGUUAUCCGGAAUUAUUGGGCGUAAAGCGCGCGUAGGCGGUUUUUUAAGUCUGAUGUGAAAGCCCACGGCUCAACCGUGGAGGGUCAUUGGAAACUGGAAAACUUGAGUGCAGAAGAGGAAAGUGGAAUUCCAGGUGUAGCGGUGAAAUGCGCAGAGAUAUGGAGGAACAACAGUGGCGAAGGCGACUUUCUGGUCUGUAACUGACGCUGAUGUGCGAAAGCGUGGGGAUCAAACAGG